This 253-nucleotide ribosomal RNA is filed under the name uncultured bacterium. RNAcentral describes it as "partial 16S ribosomal RNA". It matches the Rfam family "Bacterial small subunit ribosomal RNA", at positions 524 to 776 of the family's 1533-position model. The record is from RNAcentral.
UACGGAGGAUCCAAGCGUUAUCCGGAUUUAUUGGGUUUAAAGGGUGCGUAGGCGGGUUAUUAAGUCAGUGGUGAAAGCCUGCAGCUUAACUGCAGAAUUGCCAUUGAUACUGAUGAUCUUGAGUACAGUUGAGGUGGGCGGAAUGUGUCAUGUAGCGGUGAAAUGCUUAGAUAUGACACAGAACACCGAUUGCGAAGGCAGCUCGCUAAGCUGUAACUGACGCUGAGGCACGAAAGCGUGGGGAUCAAACAGG